Molecule: long non-coding RNA, 1346 nt
Filed under: Ananas comosus (pineapple)
Lineage: Eukaryota; Viridiplantae; Streptophyta; Magnoliopsida; Poales; Bromeliaceae
Description: long non-coding RNA (ACOM_LNC038949)
Source: RNAcentral
UUGGUUUUAGGAGAAAGGGAGAUUAUUUUUUUCAGCGAUAAGUAGUAUACUAUUUGCUAAUUAAAUAAAUUUAGCUGAAAAUAUAAAUCAAUUAGAAUUCGAACUUAAGACCUCGGAUACUAACCACCAAGUAUUUUGCUACUUGCGCUAGGAACGGAUGGUAGAAAGGGAGAUUAUUAGGUCACUACUUGUUCGGAUUGGAUUUUACAGCUCUUUAUUUUUAUCGUUGUUUUUUAAAUUCCGUGUUGGUGAAGAGUGCUUCUCCUACUGAUAAAACAAGAGACCAACAAUUGAUAGCAUAGUAUUCGCAAUAAUUGGAAGCUAGUAAGUGAUUUAUAUCUUAAGAUUUGAUGUUUCGUAAACUAAACUUAACGAAAGGGACCGGCUGUGAGAUACUGAGCACAUUUCAAACCCACACAACAUAUGAGUACAGCGAAAAUAUGACCUUUUAUAGAGGAAAACGAUCGUAGAAAAUAAACACGAGAAUAACAACGUAAUAAAAUAAAACAAAAGAAUACAAUAAUACAAGAUUUACGUUGUUCGGCCAACGAUGAGUAGACAUACAUCCACAAACAAGAUCACCUCAUGUGUUCUUCAAUUAAUUCACGACACAAAAAUAUAAGGAGUAAGAUUGGAUUACAAAAAAUUCUCUCUCUCAGGAGCUCUCUACGUUUUCCUCUCAAUUAGAGUGUCUACAAUGAAGCUCUCACAAUAAACCUCAAACAACGAGUUGCCUUUGUUUGGUUGGGGGUUAAGAGGUGGAUUAAUUUCUUAACCCUCAUAUUAUCUCCAAAUGUCUUCAAAAAUGGGUGGGGUUAGCUAACCCCACCUCAAAUAUGCUAUCCUGAGUUAGCUAACCCCACCUCAAAUAUGCUAUCCUGAGUUAGCUAAUCCCACCUAACCCCAUCAAACCUCAACCAAACACUAUUUUCUAUUUAUAAUAACCCACUAUCCUUCUUAUCUCAUCUACUCUAACCAAACACUAUUUUUCACUAUUCUGGACUAACUCCAACCCCCAACCAAACACAAAAAUACUCUAACCCUACCUCAAUCCUGAACUUAAUCCAAUUCCUGGAAUAACUAGUUUUUCCUUAACCCCGAACCGAACGGUAGCUAAAGAUUAAUUAUAAGAGCUUAUAUAACUCUAUAAUCUCAAUUAUGGUAGGAAACGAUCUCCGCCAUACAUCCGAGUCUCCGAUUCGUAUUUAACCAUCAAUCUCCUCAUAGGAAUUAUCUUUAAAGUGAUCUUGAACUAUUCUUAAUAUUUUAAAAUAAGAUUAAAUUCAAUUAGAGUCAAAUUCAGCAUAUUCAACUGGUCGCAUAACUGUGUACUGGUACUCAAAGUU